This 8410-nucleotide long non-coding RNA is filed under the name Capsicum annuum. RNAcentral describes it as "long non-coding RNA (CANN_LNC015170)". The record is from RNAcentral. Lineage: Eukaryota; Viridiplantae; Streptophyta; Magnoliopsida; Solanales; Solanaceae.
UAAACUCUAUGGUACCUCAAAGAAGUUAUGGACAAAGCUUUUCCAAACUUCAAAUGUUGUAUCAAUGCCAUCAUCUUUGUGAAGUUGUGGAUUGACUCGAACCAAAAAUCAUCACUAAGAAUAGGGUAUGUUGAACCAUAUAAUUAAAAUUGUGAAAUUCAAGCAUUACAACUUGAUAAUUCAUGAACAAGGAAGAAGAGAUGAGAGAGUGAAAUUGUAAAUUUUAUUCAUCAUCAAAAUCACGUGUUACAAUCUGAUAUUGUGCCUUAUAUAUAGGCUAUGAAAGAGAUACAAAAAUAUCUAAUAACUACCUCCUUCUAGAAUAUUCUAUUUGAUACCUCAUUGCACCUAACUAAUCAUUUGUCUAACAACCUUCAACACCCUAUACAGUUGACUCAGCAAUAUACUAACUAAAUAUCUACUCCUAUCAGUGCUACAUAUUAGUGAAACAGGUAGUCACACAUGUGUCUUUAAAACACGCCUCCUCAAGUUACAGGGUGCAAGAUAUUUAGCACACCAAGCUUGCCUAAUAAAUGAGCAUGUUGAGCUUGAGCUUGGCUUAGCCCCUUAGUAAGAAGAUCAGCCACUUGGCCUUGAGAGUGAACAUGUAUAGCUUGUAUCAAUCCACUUUUGAUCUUGUCCCUGAUGAAAUGGCAGUCAAUCUCUAUGUGUUUUGUUCUCUCAUGAAACACAGGAUUAUUGGCCAACUGAAUUGUUGAAUUGUUGUCACUAAAGACUGAUAUGGGUAAGGUAAUGGAACCUUGAGUUCAUGAAACAAGCCAACCAACCAAGUUAUCUCUGCAACUACUGAAGCCAUGCUUCUGUACUCAGCUUUAGCAAAACUCCUGGAAACAGUGUGUUGUUUCUUGGACUUCCAAGAAUCAAAGAUUCACCAAAAUGAACUGCAUAAUCAGUAACUAAUCUCCUAGUGUUGGGACAAGCAGCCCAAUCUGAGUCACACCAGCAAGUUAGAGUGGUAGAAUGUUUAGCCUGUAGCUAGAUUCCUUGACCAACAGAGCCUUUGAGGUACCUGACUACCCUGAGAGCAGCCUCCCAGUGUGAUCUCUUGGGAUGUUGCAUAAAUUGGCUGAGAGUGUGGACUGCAAAACAUGCAAAACAUGAUAUCUGGUCUAGUAAUAGUGGCAUACAUGAGUUUGCCUAUUAGUCUUUGAUAAGAAGAAGCAUCAGACAAUAAAUUAUCACCUUGUGCACCUGUGGUUUGAUCAUACUCAAGUGAAGUCAGCCUCACAUUGGACUCUAAGGGAGUGAUUGCAGGUUUUGAACCACUAAGACCAGUAUCUGAAAUUAAUUCUAGGAUAUAUUUUCUUUGAUUUAAUAUCACCCCUGAAGUUGAUCUGAGAACUUCAAUACCCUAGAAGUAUUUGAGAUUCCCCAAGUCUUUCAUCUUGAACUGCUGGUGCAACUUGGCUUUUGUUGCAUCAAUCAAAUUAGCAUUGCUUCCUGUAAGGAGCAAGUCAUCAACAUAUACAAAAACUAUCACUGUGUCAUUACCUUGAUGCAGAAAGAAGAGAGAAUAAUCAUGAUCACUUUGAGUGAAUCCAGCUUCAAGCAAAGCAUGAGUCAGUUUCAGGUUCCAUUGUCUGGAAGCCUGUUUGAGGCCAUACAAGGAUUUGAGCAACUUGCAAAUCUUGUGCUCUCCUUGGUUUUUGAAACCUUCUGGCAGCGCCAUAUACACUUCCUCUUCAAGAUCCCCUUGUAAAAAUGCAUUAUAGACAUCCAUUUGAUAGAGAGGCCAUCCUUUAGAUACUGCUACAGCAAUCACACUCCUGACAGUAGCCAUUUUUGCCACUAGUGAAUAUGUCUCAUGAUAAUCAAGCCCUUCUUGUUGGCUAUAUCCCUUGGCCAUUAAUCUUGCUUUGAACCUUUCCACUUCACCAUUUGCAAGAUAUUUAAUCAUGUAUAUCCAUUUGGAACCAACAGUGUUCUUCCCUUUGGGUAGGUCAACAAUGGUCCAUGUGUUGUUUGCCUCUAAUGCUUGAAUUUUUAACUUCAUAGAUUCACCCAUCUUUCAUCUUUUACAGCUUGUUUGAAGUGUUGAGGCUCAGUCAGAGCAGAGAACUUUGACAAGUAACACUGAUAUGCUAGUUUUAGUUUACUGUAAGAUAGGUUGUUAUCUAAGGGGUACUUACAUCUCUGGGAUUUUGAAGUGUCAACAUAAUCAUGCAUCCACACACACAGGAGGUCUUCUUGUUCUCGUUGGUCUACUUGAAGUGGGUUGAAGCAGGGAACGGUUAUCUUGACAUGUUUCUUCGUGAGUGGUGCCAGGUGAAGUUACACCAGGUACUGCAUCAUCAGAGGACCCUUGGCAAUCAACAUGAGUAUUUGCAUCCUUAACAUGAAUAUCCUCUAAAGGGACAUCAGCACCAACUUCAUCAUAUAUGGAGACCAGGAAGUCAUUGAUGUCUUCAUCAAUUUUGGAAGUAUCUGCACGUUGGGAUCCUGCUUGUGAUGAAUCAAAAGGGAAAGAAUCUUCAUAAAACACAACAUCCCUACUCACUAAUAAUCCUUUUGAGUUAAUGUCCAGUAACAAGUAACCCUUUUGAGAUUCUAAAUAUCCUACUAGUACAGCAGGUUUAGCUCUUUCAGAGAACUUGUCAUCCCUUGGAACAACAGUCAUAUAACACAAACAUCCAAACACCCUCAAAUGUGACAACUUGGAAUCUUUAGAGAAUAACAACUGAAAUGGGCUCUUACCAUUCAGGACUGAGGUUGGUAACCUGUUCAUGAUAUAUACUGCAGCUUUUACACAUAAUCCCCAGUACUUGAUGGGCAAAUAGGAUUGAAAUUUAAGAGCUCUAGCAAUAUUCAAUGUGUCUGUGCUUCCUUUCCACCACUCCAUUUUGCUGUGGAGUGUAAGGACAGCUGGUCUGAUGUAAGAUUCCCAGAGACUGGAACAAUAUAUGACAUUGAGUAUUGAUAAACUCAGUCUCAUUAUCAGAUCUAAUGGCUUUUAUCACCACUCCAAACUGUGUUUUAAUCAUGGAUAUGAAUGUCUUAAUAGCUACUAUGGUCUCAGAUUUUAGCUGCAACAGAUGAAUCUAAGUAUAUCUACUAUAGUCAUCCAUCAUAGUCAAGAAAUAACACUUAUUAUCAAAUGUAGGUGUUUUAUAAGGACCUCAUAAAUCUAUGUGUACAAGUUCAAAACAUGCAGAACAUCUAGUAGUACUUGUGGGAAAUGGCAUUCUUGUUUGUUUAGCUAGUGGGCAUACAGUACAUUUAUUCAAUAUAUCUACAUCACUAUGAUUCAUCAAAAUAUCCAAGUCUCUUAAAACCUGAGGAGUUGGGUGCCCAAGUCUUUGGUGCCAUAGUUUGCAAUUAGGAACAACAACCUCUGCAGUGAACCUGUUGUGUUUUGCUCCUUCUUGAACAACAUUAUCUUUUCAUUCUCCUUUAAGAACAUACAGUCCACCCUCUUGUCUACCAAUCCCCUUCACCUUGCCAUUGAAGAGGUCCUAAAAUAUGCAGAAAUCAGGAUAAAAGGACACAAAGCAUGACAGUUCCUUGGUUAUCUUAGCAACAGACAACAGAUUUAGUCUAAAAUCUGGAACAAAGAGAACAUCUUUGAUCACAUCAUCUGUAAAAAUGUAUGCUUCUCCAGUGUGAGAAAUUGUGACUUCAUCUCCUGUUGGAAGGUGCAAUUUGUCCAAAUGCCUUGGAACCAAGCUGUUGCUAUCUUUAAACAAGUAUCUAUUGGCAGACACAUGAUGUGUAGCCCCUGAAUCUACAAUCCAACUAUCAGAACAAGUCUUGGAUAAGAAGCAAGUAACAAUACCUGUCAUAUUGACUUGUCAUAUUGACUUGUUUCAUAUCCUUGGUAUCCUUAUUCAACAUGUUUAUGAUUUGAUUGUACUCUUCAUCAGUGAAUGUAUGUGGUUUUGUUAGUGGUACAGAAUUGGCAUCAUGACUGGAACUGGCAGUAUCAGUUGGUCCUGCUACCAUGCUUGCAGUUUGGGAAAACUUGCUACCAGUGUUAGUAUAGUUGUUACCCCUAUUAUGCAGUGAGAAAUUAUUGCCACCAGCAUUAUAUGACCUGAAAUUUGGAGGAGCAUAACCUUGUUUCUUCUUGUUCUUCCAAUCAUUUGGAUAUCCUAUCAGUUUGUAGCAGUUUUCUUUAGUAUGACCUGAAAUUUGAUAGUAGUCACACCUUCUACUCUUGUAAUUUGUGUUUCCCUGUCCAUAACCGUAACUGCGAUUCACUUGCAUAGCAAGAGGUUCUCAUCUGUCGUGUAUAGCAAGUGUACAUGCUGAGUGUUAUACCUCAUCCUCUAUGAGCAUGGCAUAAGAUUGAUUGAGAGUUGGAGUUACGCUCUUAAGUAAGAUCUGUCUCCUAGCUUGAUCGCAGGACUCAUUCAAACCACUCAAAAAUUGUAGAAGUCUCAGUUGACACAUAUGAUCUGAGUACUCUUUGGAUUUAGGGCAAUCACAGCUAGGAUUAGGAACCAGAACAUCAUACUUACUCCACAAGGUCUUCAACUUAGUAAAAUAAGCUGAGAUUGAAUAAUCAGUACCUUGAGAAUGCAUAUUGAUUUCACGAUGCAAUUGAUAUAUACGCAUACGAUUCACUUUAUCAUAUCUUUCCUUCAAAAUCAUUCCAGACUACGCAAGCAUUUGUAGCAUACACGAUCCCAGAUAGUAAGCUUUCACUCACAGUAUUCAUGAUCCAUAAGAGGACAAUCGCAUUACACGUUUCCCACUGAUCAUGAAAUUCUUCUCUGUAUGACUCCUUGUUGUAGGGUCCAGUGACAAAACCAUACUUUCUCUUCCCUAAGAGAGCAAUUCGCAUGGAUCGACUCCAAAGACUAUUGUUUUCUAAACCAGUUAAUUUGAUUGGAAUGAGUAUAGAGAUUGAACUAUCUGAAGCACCUAUGAAGAGUGGAUCACUUUGAUCAAUUUUGGGUGCCAUGAAUGAAGAAAUUCCACUACAAAAUCAACUAAACUUGCAGAAAAAUCGAAAUAGUUUUCUAUAUUAGCACCCUGGCUUUGAUACCAUGUGAAAUUCAAGCAUUACAGGUUGAUAAUUCAUGAACAAGGAGGAAGAGAUGAGAGAGUGAAAUUGUAAACUUUAUUCAUCAUCAAAAUCACGUGUUACAAUAUGAUAUUGUGCCUUAUAUCUAGGCUAUGAAAGAGAUACAAAAAUAUCUAAUAACUAGCUCCUUCUAGAACAUUCUAUUUGACACCUCAUUGCACCUGACUAAUCAUUUGUCUAACAACCUCUAACAACCUUCAACACCCUAUACAGCUGACUCAGCAAUAUACUAACUAACUAAAUAUCUACUCCUAUCAGUGCUACACAUUAGUGAAACAGGUAGUCACACAUGUGUCUUUAAAAUAAAAAUAAACACAAAUAAAAGUUAUAUAUAGUGUAGGGAUUGGUGGAAUGGAUAGAGAUAACACUCAUGUGAGGUAUAAGUCAUAAUAAUCCCGGGAUAAAAUGUAGGAUUAUUUUAUCCUAUGUUUGUUUGGAGGUAUUAGUUAGCCAAUGGAUUAUUUACCCCACAAUUUAUGCUUUAGUAAUGAGAUAAGUUAUCCCAUAUAUAUAUGAUAGGAUAAUUAAUCCCGGUAUAACUUGUUCCCAACCAAACUAUCCUUCAGUAUAUAGCAGAGAAUGUGAAACAUACAUUGUACAACAGUAUCCUGUUUUUUGUUUAGAUUGCUUAGAAUCUGUGUUUGUCUAUCAGGUCAGGUCUAGGGCCCCUCUAUUGUUUUUAGUUAUCAUAAUUGAAAUACAACACCCUAGAACAUAUGUAUAAGGCUAUUUGUUUCUUUUUUGACUUAAUUUCAUAAGAUUUGUAAUUUUUCGAUCUAGUGUGCUAUCAAAGAACCGAUUUACGAUGUCUGUAAAUUAUUAAUGGUAUUACUCUUGUUAGAAACUCAUUUCUGCUGAUGCCGACUUCAUGUCAAGUUGGAAGUGAGGGGUGGUGUAUAUAUGGCUGUAAUUAUCGUUAAUCGUGGUGAUUGUUGGGUUAAUCGUGGUAUAAUAGUUGUGUUGGUUGGGAUGUUGGUCUUGGAUUGAGCUCAUUCUAAGUUCUUGGCUGGUCUUACUUAUUUUUUGGUUUGGUUUGGUUUCUUUUGAUUUGCUCGAUAAAGUGUGGCACACAUAAACCUGUCAAACGGGUCGGUCUGACCCGUCCCACGAGAAAGCCUGGACCGAUUUGAUCUGGCCCGGUCAGCCCCCGGGCUGUAGGGUUGCCGGUCCACUGGGCCGAAAAAUUUUUUGGGCCUAGUUAAUCCAGCUCGGACCCAAACCGAACCAGCCCGGCUCGGUUUAAUUUUAAAAAAAAAUAAAUCUGGAAAAAGCAAAAAUUUUGAUUUAAAAUUUUUUUUAAAAUUUAAAAAAUUUCCUAUAAAUACCCUACACUUUUAAAUCAUUUGCCACACAAUUUUCAUUCUCUCAAAUCUCAUUCUCUCUCAAAUAUUCUAUAUAAGUCUUAAAGUGCUCAAUUUUAUUUUUUAAUUUUGUGAUUACAAAGUACGAGUGGAAGUUUCUAAAGUUGCAACUUUCGGAUACUUCCAAAAUUUGGCAUUGUCCUUUUAAUUUUUAAUUAGUGUAUUAAUUGCUGAAUAUUUAAUUAUAUUAUCUUUGUGUGUUUUGAAUUUUUUUAGUUUGAUUUAUAUUAUGGAUAAAUUAAGAAACAUCGGUAAAAGUGUUAAAAAAAAAUUGUCCCAGAAGUGGUAGUGAUAGUAAAAAGUAAAUUACUAGCGGUAGAGGUAGUUCAAGUAGUAGAUAUACCCUUGCGUCUCAGGUACUACUUAGUCAACCUUUUGAGGAAGAAGUAGGUGUAGGUGCUCACAAUAUGGAUUAUUUAGAAGCUCAGAAAAAUUACGAUAUAGAAGAAGAAAAUGAAGUAGAUGCGGUUAAUUUAGAUGAAGAUGAUGAAAAUAUUGGUGAGACACCCGCAGUAGGAAAUGCUAAUGUUAGAUAUGAAUUAGUUAAUCACCCUGCCCAUCCUCCUCGUGCCCCAAGAUCUCGUAGAUCAACUAGUAUUGCAUAACAAUUUUUUACACGUAUAGAAGGAGAAACUAAGGUGCAAUGCAAUAUUUGUCAACAAGUAUAUAGGCAUUAAAGAUGAGACAAUCAAGGGGGUACGGGUACGUUAAUAAGACAUAUAAAUGAUAAUCACAAAAGAGAGUUACUUAUUGCACAAGGUGGUGAGGUUGUUGGUGGGCCAACACAAACUAGAAUGGACCCAGCAACCAGUCAGGUAGUGAAGACUUAUAAUAAAUUGAGGGACCGGGAAAAAAUAGCAAAAAUGAUAGCUGUGGGUUAUUUGUCUUUCACUUUUCCUUCUUCGGAUGUUUUUAUUCAUUAUAUUCAAGCAAUUUAUAAUCCUAUGUUUAAUGGUAUUCCUAGAAGUAUUUGUUGGGCCGAUAUUUUUAGACUUCAUUCACAAUAUGUUUAUUAUUUAUCUACAUUGUUAAAAAAAUAUUCAAUGUAGAAUGACUCUAACUUCUUAUCUUGGUCGUGUUGUUAAUAGAAAUGAUUAUUUAAUCAUUACUUGUCAUUGGAUAGAUAAUAAUUUUGUUAUGCAAAAACGUAUUCUAGCUUUUUUGUAUGAUGAAGAUUGUAGACAUACUGGAGAAUUUAUUGCUUAAUUUAUUACUAAAAUUGCAGAAUUUUAUGGUAUUGAAAGAAAAGUUAUAUGUAUUGUUUUUGAUAAUGCUCCUAACAACAACACUGCUAUUGAAAAGUUAAAAAAUGAUCUCUCUCCGCCGUUAUCUGAAAUAUUUCAUGUUAGGUGUGCUGUCAUAUAUAUAAUUUAAUUGUAAGAGAUGGUCUUGAAUUUUUUGAGUUUUAUAUUGAAAAAAUUCGACUUGCUGUUAGUUUUAUUCAAAGAAAUAAUUGAAAAAAAAAUUAGAGAAUUUAAAGUUAAAUGUGAAUAAAAUGGACUUACGCCUAUAUUUAUACCUGGAGAAUGUAAUACUAGAUGGAAUGCUACGUAUGAUUAUUUAAAAACUUGUCUUGCUUAUAAGGUUCCUAUUACAUUGACUUUUAACCAAUAUUGUGGUUCAUUUGCUAAUUUGGCUGAAUGUAUGCUAAAUGAUUCUGAUUGGGCUGCAAUUGAUGAUCUUGUUAAGUUUUUGAAAAUAUUUUAUAUAGAUACGGUUGAAUUUUUCGGUGCUUAUUAUCCUACUGUUUGUAAUAUUUUACUCUCUCCGUUUAAAAAAGAAUGACCUACUUUUCUUUUUAGUCCGUUUAAAAAAGAAUGACCCCUUUCCUUUUUUGGCAAUACUUUAAUUUCAACUUUACACAUGGCAUGCUUAGGACUACAAGAUUAAAGGGCAUUUUGGUACAUUUAACACAACUUUAAUUUAAAACCACAAGAUUCAAAAGUCUUCUUUAUUUUCUUAAACUUUGUGUCAAGUCAAAGUAGGUCAUUCUUUUUUAAAC